Molecule: ribosomal RNA, 633 nt
Filed under: Triticum aestivum (bread wheat)
Lineage: Eukaryota; Viridiplantae; Streptophyta; Magnoliopsida; Poales; Poaceae
Description: partial small subunit ribosomal RNA
Source: RNAcentral
AUGUGUAUUGAUCACUUGUCAAAGGAGAUAGUCAAGCACCAUGAGAAAUUGCUUGAUGAUUGGUUUCGAAUAGUUCGAAGGGAUCCCGAGGAUGAAACUGGUCCUGAUCAAAUGUUUGUGGGAGGGUGUUUGCCGCUAGUUGCGAUAUUGUACAUGCAUUUCCUUGAUCUUAAGGUUGCUGCACGGAAACGAAAGAUUGACUAUAGUGUCCCAAGAAUAGCUCAUAUCAAGAAUCAGGACUUUGAUUUUGUUUAUUUGGUUGACAUGAAGCAUGAUCGUGUAAAGAAGCUAAAAUUUGGUGCAAUGCCAUUCAAAGAUAUUUCUGAGGCCCCAUACAGUGUGCGUGCAUUGAUACUGACAGAAGAAAAGUGGCUUAAAUUGGAUGCCAAUGCUACUCAGGUGUUGGAGUUAAUGUCUGAGGUUGUCUCGAAGCAUGAGAAGUUAUGGAAGAUAGCUCAUGAGAAACAUGUGUCUGGGUUGCUAGUAGAACUUAGAUCAGUUGUGUCGUCCUGUUUUGCAGAGAGUGGUGAAUGUUCAAUUCAGGCUUCAGAAUCUGCAAGGUCUAGUUGCUCAGGUAAAUGUUGGAAAAGAUGCUCGAGCGGCCUUUCCGCAAGGAAUUCAAGGUUCACCUAG